AUUGAUGAUGAGGGCAUUGAAUGCACAAUAACUCAAAUCUUUCCCAAUACUCAACGAGUGUUUCUCCAUGAGAUUGUCGAUUCCCACAUAUUUCUUUCCUUAUGUU
Molecule: small nucleolar RNA, 106 nt
Filed under: Salix viminalis (osier)
Lineage: Eukaryota; Viridiplantae; Streptophyta; Magnoliopsida; Malpighiales; Salicaceae
Source: RNAcentral